RNAcentral lists this ribosomal RNA (496 nucleotides) under uncultured bacterium. RNAcentral's name for it is "bacterial SSU rRNA". It matches the Rfam family "Bacterial small subunit ribosomal RNA", at positions 8 to 518 of the family's 1533-position model. The record is from RNAcentral.
AGAGUUUGAUCCUGGCUCAGGAUAAACGCUGGCGGCGUGCCUAACACAUGCAAGUCGAACGGACCGAUCUUUCGGAGGGUCGGUUAGUGGCGGACGGGUGAGUAAUGCGUGAGCAACCUGCCCUUCGGUGGGGGACAACAGUUGGAAACGACUGCUAAUACCGCAUGAAGUACAAGGAAGGCAUCUUCUUUGUACCAAAGAUUUAUUGCCGAAGGAUGAGCUCACGUCUGAUUAGUUAGUUGGUAGGGUAACGGCCUACCAAGACUGCGAUCAGUAGCCGGACUGAGAGGUUGAACGGCCACAUUGGGACUGAGAUACGGCCCAGACUCCUACGGGAGGCAGCAGUGGGGAAUAUUGGGGCCAAUGGGGGAAACCCUGACCCAGCAACGCCGCGUGAAGGAAGAAGGCUUUCGGGUUGUAAACUUCUUUUAAGGGGGACGAACGCAAUGACGGUACCCCUUGAAUAAGCCACGGCUAACUACGUGCCAGCCGCCGC